Molecule: ribosomal RNA, 217 nt
Filed under: uncultured bacterium
Lineage: Bacteria
Description: partial 16S ribosomal RNA
Rfam family: Bacterial small subunit ribosomal RNA
Source: RNAcentral
ACGCUCGACACCUACGGGGGCAGCAGUGAGGAAUAUUGGUCAAUGGGCGCUAGCCUGAACCAGCCAAGUAGCGUGAAGGAUGAAGGCUCUAUGGGUCGUAAACUUCUUUUAUAUAAGAAUAAAGUGCAGUAUGUAUACUGUUUUGUAUGUAUUAUAUGAAUAAGGAUCGGCUAACUCCGUGCUAGCAGCCGCGGUAAUCUGAGCGGGCUGGCAAGGC